Molecule: ribosomal RNA, 403 nt
Filed under: uncultured bacterium
Lineage: Bacteria
Description: bacterial SSU rRNA
Rfam family: Bacterial small subunit ribosomal RNA
Source: RNAcentral
GGGGAAUAUUGCGCAAUGGGGGGAACCCUGACGCAGCAACGCCGCGUGAAGGAAGAAGGUCUUCGGAUUGUAAACUUCUUUGAUGAGGGACGAAUAAAGUGACGGUACCUCAAAAACAAGCCACGGCUAACUACGUGCCAGCAGCCGCGGUAAUACGUAGGUGGCGAGCGUUGUCCGGAAUUACUGGGUGUAAAGGGCGUGUAGGCGGGGAUGCAAGUCAGAUGUGAAAUACCGAGGCUUAACCUCGGGGCUGCAUCUGAAACUGUGUUUCUUGGGUGUCGGAGAGGAAAGCGGAAUUCCCAGUGUAGCGGUGAAAUGCGUAGAGAUUGGGAGGAACACCAGUGGCGAAGGCGGCUUUCUGGACGACAACUGACGCUGAGGCGCGAAAGCGUGGGGAGCAAAC